Non-coding RNA from Solanum lycopersicum (tomato), 1201 nucleotides. The record is from RefSeq and is a predicted model, not a curated record. NCBI's taxonomy places the organism in Eukaryota, Viridiplantae, Streptophyta, Magnoliopsida, Solanales, Solanaceae.
UGUAUAUGGACAUGUUUAGGACGUACAGUCGAGUGCUUAAGACGUAAACCUCACACUUGAGUCUCAAGACGUUUUGCUAGAUACAGAACGUUGGACAUGUGUAGGACGUAACUCUUACGGAACUAAUUAAACCUCACACUUGAGUAUCAGGACGUCAUAUAAUAUUGAUUGGAGUAAUUUCAAAUCAAUUUUAAGAAAGGUGAAAUGGUCUGGUGGACCCUUGUACUUGUAUGCGCUUGUUUUGUGAACCCUUCUGCUUAACAAUUUAUCAACUAAACCAUUAAAGUCAAUAAAGAUACAAUAUAUUUAACCUUCUGACCAUUGACCAGACUUUUAUGACAUUAAGAUGGUUGAGUUGGCAAAAGAGUAUGGCCACACACUGCACUUCAUAUUUAAAUUUAAAAAAUAUUUUAAAAUAAAAUUUUCAAUUAUAAAAAAACUAAAAACUAAAAUUAAAAAAUUAAUUUUUUUUAAAAAAAAAGGUAUUCUUCUUCCUUCAACUUCAGCCGCCAUCCUCAUUCUUGUCCAACCCCUUUUUCCUUCUUCUAUACACUUAUUAUCACCUUUAUCAUGAUAUUGACAUCUUUUUUUUGACACAUUUCAAGUUAUUAUUACGGAAAAAAGAAAGCGACGUUAAUUUCAUGGUGGUAUUCAUCGGAAUCUACUGAUUCAAAAUGGAGUAAGAGAGAGACACGACACUGAUCCUUUUUCACCAGAACAAGAGGCAGCAAGGGAGUUAUUCGUACGACUGAUAGGAUGGAGAAAAGAGGCGGCCUCUGGUGGCUCGCAGAUGUCGCCGGUGCUGUUUCAGCUUAGGAUUACUAAUUUUGUGGAGGUAGAAGAAAGAGGAAAGGAAAAUAGUGAGGUUUGCAGUGGAGAAAAGAGGCGGCCUCUGGUGGCUCGCAGAUGUCGCCGGUGGUGUUUCAGCUUAGGAUUACUAAUUUUGUGGAGGUAGAAGAAAGAGGAAAGGAAAAUAGUGAGGUUUGCAAUGGAGAAAAGAGGCGGCCUCUGGUGGCUCGCAGAUGUCGCCGGUGGUGUUUCAGCUUAGGAUUACUAAUUUUGUGGAGGUAGAAGAAAGAGGAAAGGAAAAUAGUGAGGUUUGCAAUGGAGAUGGAGAUCUGCAGGUCUUGCCAGCAUGAAAAGCGGUGGCGGCGACUACAGAUUUAGAUGUUACAUUGAAGCGAAGUGUGAAGUCCCAAAA